GCGUAUAAACACGUGAGAACCGUGUUCGCCGUAAAUCUAAGGUUUCCGACGCCAGGUCAUUCCGCGUCGGGUUAGUCGGCCCUUAGCCGAGGCCGAAAGGCGUAGGCGAUGGACAUCCGGUCAACAUUCCGGAACCAUCUGGAAGGAGCGAUGGGGGGACGCAGCGAGGUAGGCCAGCCUGCGAUUGGUUGUGCAGGUGCAAAACGUCUAGGUGUUGAGGUCUGUAGGCAAAUCCGCAGACUGAGCUGAAGCGUGAAUGCGAGCCCUUGAGGCGGAAGUGGUUAAGCCUUGCUGCCGAGAAAAGCCCCUAAGCGUUGAAUUCCAGAUGCCCGUACCGCAAUCCGACACCGGUAGAUGGGUAGAGUAUACCAAGGCGAACGGGAGAACCCUCGUUAAGGAACUCGGCAAUUUAACCCCGUAACUUCGGGAUAAGGGGUGCCUUCUGACGUCCGGUUUACCAAAGCGUUGGAAGGUCGCAGUGAAAUGGUUCUAGUGACUGGUUAUCAAAACCACAGGUCUCUGCAAAGCCGUAAGGCGAUGUAUAGGGGCUGACACCUGCCCAGUGCCGGAAGGUUAAAGGGAGAGGUUACCCUGAGCGCAAGCGAAGGGGAAGCUUUGAACUGAAGCCCCGGUGAACGGCGGCCGUAACUAUAACGGUCCUAAGGUUCUAUCGCGAGCCUUAGUAAAACCGAACUAUAUGCGGGAAACUCCUCCACAGCCGCGCGGUACUCGUCUGCCCUCGGGCAGGCAGUAAAAAUCCGCCGGACAUGGGGACAAUCCGCAGGGAAGACUCUUAUGACAGACAACAUUAUGAGAGAACCCUCAGAGACUUUACGUUCGGUCUCGUCCCAGAGGCUGGAAGCCCAGUGGGUGGUCGGUUUCGUGGAUGGCGAAGGGUGCUUCUAUGUAGGCAUCAACCUUCAACCUGAAAUGAAAGUUGGCUAUCAAGUGUUGCCAGAAUUUACUAUAGUGCAACACGAACGGGAUAUACAGCUGUUGUAUGCGCUCAAACAAUUCUUUGGGUGCGGUGUGGUGCGUAGCAACCACGCUGAACGGAUGGCAUAUCGGGUGAGAGGUACAAGACACCUUCGGGAGCGAAUCCUCCCGUUCUUCGAGAUGCAUCCGCUGAAAUCCAAGAAACGCCAGGAUUUUCUGAAGUUUCGCCGGAUUUUACUCCUGAUGGAGCGCGGCGAACAUUUGACCACUGAAGGCGUCGAGCGUAUCCGAGCAAUUGCCUCGAAAAUGAAUACGGGACGGGAAAGAUAAAGUCCGGCUCCUCCGGAAACGAAGUGAGAUGAACCGAGCGAAAUUCCUUGUCGGGUAAGUUCCGACCCGCACGAACGGUGUAACAACUAGAACAGUGUCUCAACGAGGGACCCGGUGAAAUUGAAAUGGCUGUGAAGAUGCGGCCUACCCGCAGUAGGACAAAAAGACCCCGUGGAGCUUUACUGCAUCUUGGCAUUGAGUUUGGGUAUGAUUUGUGUAGCAUAGGUGGGAGGCUUUGAAGCUGGGGCGCUAGCCUCGGUGGAGCCAUCAGUGAAAUACCACCCUGAUUAUGCUUAGACCCUAACCCCGCACCGUCAUCCGGGCGGGGGACCGUGCCAGGUGGGCAGUUUGACUGGGGCGGUCGCCUCCUAAAAUGUAACGGAGGCGCCCAAAGGUUCCCUCAGGGUGAAUGGAAACCACCCAAAGAGUGUAAAGGCAUAAGGGAGCUUGACUGCAAGACCAACGCGUCGCGCAGAGUCGAAAGACGGGCUUAGUGAUCCCACGAAUCUGAGUGGAAAGGUCGUGGCUACCGGAUAAAAGCUACCCCGGGGAUAACAGGCUGGUGAGAUCCAAGAGUUCACAUCGACGAUCUCGCUCGGCACCUCGAUGUCGGCUCAUCGCAUCCUGGGGCUGGAUAAGGUCCCAAGGGUCGGGCUGUUCGCCCGUUAAAGCGGUACGCGAGCUGGGUUCAGACCGUCGUGAGACAGGUCGGUCUCUAUCCACUGUGGGCGUAAGGGAUUUGAAGGGAGCUGCUCCUAGUACGAGAGGACCGGAGUGGACAGACCUCUGGUGUGCCAGUUGUCGUGCCAACGGCAUCGCUGGGUAGCUACGUCUGGCAGAGAUAACCGCUGAAAGCAUCUAAGUGGGAAACUCGCCCUAAGAUUAGAUCCCUGUAUUCCCUUAAGGGAGUAAGACCGCAGGUAGACUACCUGCUUAAUAGGCGGCGUGUGUAAGCGCAGCAAUGCGUUAAGCUAAGCCGUACUAAUGGUCGAGGGCUGAUCU
RNAcentral lists this ribosomal RNA (2268 nucleotides) under Chloroflexi bacterium CG_4_10_14_0_8_um_filter_57_5. RNAcentral describes it as "partial 23S ribosomal RNA". It matches the Rfam family "Bacterial large subunit ribosomal RNA", at positions 1309 to 2925 of the family's 2925-position model. The record is from RNAcentral. Lineage: Bacteria; Bacillati; Chloroflexota.